RNAcentral lists this ribosomal RNA (388 nucleotides) under uncultured eukaryote. Its description in RNAcentral is "SSU rRNA". It matches the Rfam family "Eukaryotic small subunit ribosomal RNA", at positions 594 to 945 of the family's 1831-position model. The record is from RNAcentral.
AUAGCGUAUAUUAAAGUUGUUGCGGUUAAAAAGCUCGUAGUUGAAUCUGUGUCCCACGCUGCCGGUUCGCCGCUCGCGGUGUUUAACUGGCAUGAUUGUGGGACGUCCUACCGGUGGGCUUAGCCUCUCGGGGCGGCCCAACUAAUAUCCCAUCGCGGUGCUCUUCACUGAGUGUCGAGGUGGGCCGGUACGUUUACUUUGAACAAAUUAGAGUGCUUAAAGCAGGCUAUUUUCGCUUGAAUACUGUGUGCAUGGAAUAAUGGAAUAGGACCUCGGUUCUAUUUUGUUGGCUUUCGGAGUCGAGGUAAUGAUUAAUAGGGACAGACGGGGGCAUUCGUACUGCGACGUUAGAGGUGAAAUUCUUGGAUCGUCGCAAGACGAACUACUG